CCUAGAGAACAGAGCAAAUCUGGUCAUGAUGGCUAGAACUUCCCUUCAAUGCCCUUGCUGAACAGCUCUUGUGCCCAAGACAGGUGAAAGGCUUUUUCUCAUGGUCCGGAGAAUCGAAUGGAUGUGCAGGUGGUGCUGCCGUUGCUGAUGUGCGGACUGAUUUCGUGCCACAGAGCCAAACAAACGAUUCUGCUGCGCGCCUGCCCCGUACCGAUCAGGAAGCAGUCGUGCCGAGGAUCGGAGCCCUUACUCUGUCGGCGGAGGGAUGAAGGGAAGAUGAAUGGAUCACCCUUGACUCCGAGGUAACAUCGCAGAGGGAAUGACCAUGAAGCCCGACAAUCUCCUCGGGAUCCUGCUUGUAUCGUAUCCUCUCCUCAAGGACCAUCCAAGGGCUCCACACUUCUUUCUGUGACUAAAGGGACCACUGCAACUCUGGGGAAGGGUAGAGCCCAGGGAUCUGAAUUUUAAUAACCCACUGAGGGUGGCCACAGAUGUUCGAAAGCCACCGCUUGAUGCCCUCCUGCCCUGGGUUGGGGCGAUAAGGAAUCUCCCCCUUUGGGGAGCAUUUUCUUCGUGUUCUGAGAAAAGAGACCAUGGCUUCCAGGUGAUAUUUGAGGAUAAGGGAAACAAAUCUAGAGUGAAGGAAGACAGAUAACGCCAGCACCAUUCGCUGAGCCCUAACUCGGAGCCAGGCACUGAGCUAAGAGCUUCUCAGUGAUGACUGUUCUGAUUCUCACUCACAACAGCCUUGCCCUGCAGAUACGGCCAUUAUCCUGACUUGACAGAGGAACACCCAGCUUUUGGGAGAUGAAGUCACUGGCCCGAGGCCACCCAGGUGUUCAAACUCACAUCUGCCCACCUCACAGCCCACACUUUUACCCCUGCUGUUGCUGAAGCUCAGGAGAAGUCAGUGGAAGAUUCAUUGAGGUAAUGCACUUGAGUUUAAUCUUGAAGACAAAGUUGGUAAGAAAGGAGAGAGGAAGAAAGUGAACUGGGCAGACACAGUCUGAAGUUCCAACUCCUUGUCACACACUACAGGGGCCCCGUCUCUGCCCCUCCCUUGCUCACGCUGUCUCU
Molecule: long non-coding RNA, 1077 nt
Organism: Neofelis nebulosa (Clouded leopard)
Lineage: Eukaryota; Metazoa; Chordata; Mammalia; Carnivora; Felidae
Exons: 5
Source: RefSeq, a predicted model, not a curated record